UUUUUAAUUAACUGAUCAUCUUUCUAUUUCAGGACUCCAAGUGAUUAAAUAGACGUUCAACACUUGGUAGUUACAAACACGCGACCACUACUCUUGAUAUUUCUACCAGACUCAUUGAUACAUAAUAACAAAAAUUAGUGGCAUGACCUGUAUGGACCAGAUCAACCUCAAAUCUAGAACAAAAAGAUCCAACUUAUUUCUUAAACAAUAUUAACAAAACAAGAAAUAAAUAUCAAGUCAAUACGAAACCCCGAAUUUGAAUUAAUUCCCAACAUUUCCUCCCAUUACUUCAACAAGGGGUUCAACUCCCAUCAUGGAUCUGAAUUUUGCAAAUUUGGCUUCAAGUAAUGCUUUAGUGAGAAUGUCUACUGGUUGAUUUUCUGUGCUGAUGUACUGUAGCUCUACAAUUUCUUUUUGUCACUAACUCUUGAAUGAAAUGAUGCUUCGUCUCAGUGUGCUUUGUUCUUCCUUGUUGAACUAGAUUUUUGGAUAAUGUAAUUGUCGACUUGUCUCAAAAAUCACUGUUGCUCCACCAUUAUCUUACUUCAGAUCCUUCAAAAUUCUUCUUAGCCAAACAACUUGACAAGCUGUGGUUGUUGCAGCUGCAUACUUUGCUUCUGUGCUUGAAAGACCAGUGCUAUGUUGCUUUUUUGAGGACCAUGAAAUUGCACCAUAUCCCAAGCUAAGCAUAUAACCAUUAGUGCUCUUUAUAUCAUUUGGACAAGAAGCCCAAUCACUGUUAGUAAAAACAAUGAGUUAAUUUGAGUUACUUCUUAAAUACCUGACGCCAAAAUUUGAAGUUCCCUGAACAUAACGAAGACUUCUCUUAGUUGCACCCAAAUGAACCUUGCUUGGACUAUGGAUGAAUCUAGAAAUAACUCACAUCAUAUGUAAUAUCAGGCAUUGUAUUAGAGAUACAUUAGGUUACCUACAAUACUUCUGAAAUUGUUCUCAUCAACCUUCUCAACCCCGUCACUUAAAGUCAGCUUCUUAUUUGCAUUCAGUGGAGUCUUAACACACUUGCAAUUCCCCAUUCUAGCUUUUUUUAAUAAGUCAGCUGCAUAUUUUUUCUGACAAAUAAAAAUACCAUGUGAAUUUUGCACUACUUCGAUUCCUAAAAAAUAAUUUAAUGAACCCAAGUUACACAUAUCAAAAGUUUGCAUCAUGGACUUUUUAAAU
This 1179-nucleotide long non-coding RNA is filed under the name Olea europaea subsp. europaea. The record is from RNAcentral. Lineage: Eukaryota; Viridiplantae; Streptophyta; Magnoliopsida; Lamiales; Oleaceae.